GGGGGCAUAGCAUAAUCUGGUUAGUGUAGCCGGUUCCAGACCGGCUGAUCGGGGUUCAAAUCCCUGUGUCCCCA
Molecule: transfer RNA, 74 nt
Filed under: Candidatus Woesearchaeota archaeon
Lineage: Archaea; Nanobdellati; Candidatus Woesearchaeota
Description: tRNA-Trp
Rfam family: tRNA
About the family: Transfer RNA (tRNA) molecules are approximately 80 nucleotides in length.
Source: RNAcentral